AAACACUCAAUCGGGUCCCUUGUCAGAGUGCCUCGCAGCACCUGAACGACGGUGACUGGGCACAGCUGCCUUUGUUCUGCCACCGUCAGAUGGGGCUGGCUGUGGGAGGCGACCAAAGACGUCCCCGCACCUGCCCUCAGAGCCUUUCCCUCCUCCAGAGCUCAGCCACCUCAGGCAGCCUUCAGUCUGUGCGUCCUGCCACCCCCGAGAUGUCCCAGAGGCCACGGUCACCCCAUCUGUUCCUGCCCCCAGAACCUUCUCCUGGAGCCAAGUAUCUGCAGGGACAGACAAGUGAGCGUCUGGGGGUUUGGUGCUGGGGUGUAGAAGGCUGUGGGGUGCUGCCCUGCCCCAGGCAGCCUGACUGUGAGAGCCCCAAACAGGACACAUCCCAGCCCCUUCCCCUCCCCUCUACGCUGCCCACCCUCUGAGGAGCAGUGGCCAAGUUCCUCUCUGAGCCUCUCAGGCCAGGCUGGCCCUGUCCCCCAGGGCCUCCCAUGAAGCCUGGGAGCUAUUCCCUCACAGGCAGCACAGACCUGGACGGACACCUGUCCCUGUGCCCCAGCGCCCCCAGGCCCCAGUGAGGAGUAGCCAGGGGGGUGAACAAGGGGGUUCCUGCUGCCUGGACUUGUUUGGGAAGAAGAUGCUGGGCUCAAAGGUUCUUCAGACAGCCUCGCCUUCCCUGCUGGCCCCAGAGCAUGGCAGGUCCCUGGAGCCGUGGAGGCCAUGGCAGCCCCAGCCCAGCCCACCCCACCCCAUCUGGGGAAGUGGAAAUCGUAUCCACGAGGGUCAGUUCAGGUCUCUGCCUACAGUGACGUGGCAGUUUUGUGCCCAACUAGGGCCUGGGUCAGGCCCAGGCCGCCCCCACCCACACCCUACCCAGAGCUCAGAGAAGACGGCCCAGCCUUCUCCCCACGUCAGUCAUGCUGAGCCCCGCAUCUGCGUUCACUCCUUUAAGAAACGUGGUUGACUCAAUCCAGUGCUGCACAUUCACAGGAUGGCUCUCCAUGGGUCCACUAGGGGCCCAACCUCUUAUGUGGCCCCUCGCUAAAAGGACUCAACAAAAAGAGUGACCAGGCACCGACCCUCGUUUGCAGGAGGACUUGGCCAUUCCCUGGGCUGUCCCACAGCACCUGCCGGCCAGGGCCCAGGGCACAGAGCGAGACUCUGUCUUUUCCUCAAGGAGACACCGUGGGGGAGGGAGGGAGAGGUAGACACCACCAACCUCAUCCCAUGACCAGGGGCUGGCGACGCUCAGAGGCCCAUGAGUGUGUUCUCCACCCGGAAGGGUCAGUGCCGGCUCCCUGGACCCAGGGGAAGAUGGCGCAGGCGGUGGCCCGGCCUGGGGAAGGAACUGAAGCCACCCUCCUGGAGAGAAACUGACGCCUCCCCAGUUCCUGUUAGGAAGGACCUCAGGAAAGAACUGGGAUCAGGCAGCCUGGGGUGGCGGCCUCCGGGCCCCUGAGGAGGAUGUCAGGCCGCAGAAGGGAGGGGAUGGGCAUGAAGCUUGGGAAGGGGGCGCCAGAGGAGGCAAGGCCUGUGCAGAGGCAGCACCGGAGGCCACUGCAGUGACUCCACCACCCAGCAGCGCCGCCACGAGUCAGGAAGUGGGAGGCCAGGCAGGAGGGGCUGUGAUGGCCCAGGUGCCAGGAGAAAGGGCUGAGGGGACAGUGCAGGCGUCCAGAGAGGCCUCGCGGGGACAGGCUGCGAAAGUCACAGGUGGGGAUGGGCUUUCUCUAGAGUUGUGUGUGGCCUGAGGACAGUGCAGCAAGGAGGGCCCGUGGUGAGCGCAUGCAGCCGAAGCGACAGCUUGGACUCCUUUGUGGGACAGGAGCCUCUCAAGGCCACUGCGGGGUGUUCAGAGAACAAGGCCUGUGAGGAUCUGCUGUGCCUGCAGCUGGUCAGUAGAACACUGGGUGUGCAGGGCCAGGGUGGGAAGGAGGAGAGCCGCAUGGAUGAAGGAGCCGGGCCUGCCCAGCAGUGCCUUUUGGGAGGGCAGGCAGGAUGGGAUGUGCAGCUGUGACCUGCCCGGCAUAGAACUCCUCCCGGCCGGGGAGAGGAGGUCCCUUCUAGCCAGAAUGGACCAGGAGGUCCCAGAAAGACCUGGGAGUAAGUGGAUUGAGUUGGGCCUUAGAAGGAGAGCCGGGAACAGGCCAGGGGAGUUGGAGCCUGGCCAGGUAUGGAGAGAGCAGGGUACACUUGCUGCACCUGUGAGAGGAGCCAGGGGUGGCCUGGUGACCUGGGCCCACUUAGCUGGCUGCAAGUCAUUACUACAGGCUCUGGAUGGAGAGUGCAGAGUAGCACGCUCCUGCUGUCACUCCCUUCUCCAAGUCCACAAAGAGGCAAGAAAGGGAGGAUUUUAAACCCAAUCCAUACUGCAUGGCGGGUGAGAGCAGAGGAGCAAACAGCACUUUUGGAUCCUGGAAAGCAGAGGAUGAGUGAGUGUCCCAGGCAUCACUGACCUGAGAAAGGCGACUCCAAAGCCAGCAGCAGCGACAGCUGGAACUGCCCUAGCCUACACCACAGGACCCCCAGCUCUGGGACUGAGCAGCACCGGGGACCUCUGGGCUGGGGUGGAGAGGGAUGGCUGGAAUCACUGUUGCAAACAAUAUAUUCAGUAGGCAGGCAGCUCCCUAGAUUCCACCAUGGUCUGCAGAGGCCAACACCUGUCCUGACAUCUUACCAGCGGGCCCUGGAGAGCCAUCUCCUACAGAGGCAAAACGAAGGGUCUCUGGGCCAGGACCAGGCCUGUUCAGGGGGAUGUGUGGCUAAGUGCAUAAGGGGUGCUGAGACUAGCCCUCGUGUCCAGGCAGUCCCCAGGACAUGGGUAGCCAGGCCUUCCCCUUCCAGACCAGAAAUGAGAAGACUCCAUCUAAUCUCAUUGCAUGACCAGGGACUGGUGAAGCUGUCAGUUCUCUCUCCAUCCCAGCAGGAGACAACCCGACCUCAGAGAUCCCUCAAUCCAGGGACCCAGCCAGGCCACCCUCCAGAGCAUCUCAGUCUGCAAGCCCCUUGGUAUACUUGGAGCUUCCAGUCACCCCGCUCAUGCCUAUCCAUGCACAGCCAGGGAUUGCCCUUCAUGGAGGAAAACUUCCUGAAACAAACAAGAAACAAGCUCCGUGGGGAACACAGACCGUGGAGGAAAAAGAAAGCUGUAGAAAAAGAUAGUGGACACCUUCAUGGAGGUGCGAGAGCCAUCGUGAAAGGAGAGGAGGUUCUAAAAAGUUCCUAGAGAGCAAAAUAAGGGCCCUUGGGGGCACAAUGAUUGCCACCAUGGAGACACAUUUCGGUGCCACUGGAGUAAAAACACUGCAGACGGGUGAGCCCUCAACAGAUAAAUGUCCCUCACCUUCUUUCUCAGGAAAGAUGGGCAGAAAUGAGGGCAGAAGCCACAGAGAGGAAACCGUGGUGACAGGACCCAGGGUCCUCCAAGCUGCAGUGGAGCAAGUGCUCGGGACAGUGGCGAGGGAGCAGUUCAGCCCCAGGGUGGUGCCUGGCAACCCGUCUCGGGACGUCCCGCCCAGGGCAGCAGUACAGCAACAUGGAUAGAAAGCCGAAUUCCCCAGAAGAGCCUGAGAGAACACUGAAGUGCUUGGCAUAGAGCCUCGGGUUGGAUUCGUAGUACGUACAGAAUGAUCCACAUGUGAAGAUAAGACGAUUAUUGGCUUCAGAGAAAACAGCAGUGCAAGCAAGAAAAGGUAGCUAGUCCCAGUUUACGAUCUGGCAAUAGUGUUUACAGUCGUCACGAUAGAAAUGCCGAGUCAGGAUCUAGUUUACUGUAGAACUCUAUCAGGAGGCCUGGAAGAUAGGGAAUGCAGUUGGUGAAAUGGAAGCUAAAUGCUCUUUUUCCUCAGUGGGAAGGUGUGGCUUGAAGAUGAUUAUAAACUCUCUUUCUGCCUCUUGAAUCUUGCCAGGCUCCGGGGCUGCUAAGCUAAUAAUGUGGCAGAAGGGACACUGCCAGUUGCAGGCCCAAGCCUUCGAGACUGGCAGCUUCCCCGUCUCUGGAAACCCACCUGCCCUUCUGUGAGGAAGCCCAAGCAGCUCUGGAGAAGCCCUUGUGGAGGGGCUGCUCUCAGCCCACAGCCGGCACCAGGUGGGCAGCCAUGCAGACCCCCAGCCUGCAAGCCAGGCCCGCUGAGGCCUCAGAGUACACACAGGCAGUCCCAUCAGCCCUGCCCAGAUGGCAGUUUUGUGAUCAAAAUAUAGACAAUAGACUAUCAUUGUUUAAGGUUGUUUGGGGGUAGUUUGUCACACAACAAUAGAUAGUAGAACAUUAGUAGACUCUGUGUGUGUGUGUGUGUGUGUGUGUGUGUGUGUGUGGCAUAUAUAUAUAGCAUAUAUAUAUAGCUUAAAAUUCAGACAUGAAGUAUCUUAUUUAGCAACAGUGGUAAAUAUUAAAAUAAAAACCAAGAGAGGGGAAAGUGGUUGCCUCGGAGAUGGGAAAAUGCGAGGAGGGAGACAGGGAACUGCUGUUUGUUUUGUUGUAACCUCGUAGAUCGGUUUGAUACUUUAAACUACAUUCACUUAUAAUUUGGACAAAAGUAAAAACUGAAGUUGAAAAAAAAUGUAUUCAUGCUUAGCACAGGAAUGAUCCACAAUUGGAUUCCAAGGCUUGUACAUUCAGCAUAAGGUGUAUGAAACAGUCCACUAUUCUAGCAACAGAUAAAAUUCCUACUGACACGCAACCUCAGGUUCCCACUCGGUUAGAAGGCUGCGUAUGGUCUUCUACUUAAAGCCUCAAGUAACAGUCAUGGCAGUGACAAAUCCUCAUUGCCUCCAUGGAAACUCUAGGCUCAUGUGUGAGCCCAGGCUGGGCUGGGGUCCCUGGGAGCCCAGGGUGAGUGGCCAGUCCCUGGGCAACUCCGUGAGCCAGGAGCGGCUGUGUCACCUGCACGGUCGAUGGGUCUCUUCUGCAGAAGAGUGUGCCCCAGUCCUUGCUGGGCACAGAUGUAAGAGGUGUUCAUGGGUCGAAAUCACAGAUUUCAAGGGCUGAUAGGAGUCAGAGUGGGGACUGGGAGGGCUGAGGCAGGUUAAAGAUUUGAGAGGGGCUGCUGUCUCCGCAGCUGCGUCACACUGCUCUGCUGUCCCCUCCAUGUUCCCCCACUGCGGCCUCCCCUGGGGUCUUGUGGAAGUAACUGAAGGCCCCUCAACCUGGCUCAUCAUCAGAGCAGACUGUUGAUUAGCUGCGGGCAAAUAUGAAGAGGCGAUUUCCUGUCACUGAAAGGCCGUGGUGUGUCUUUCUGAAGCUACGGAGCUGACGCAGGCUGAGCAGGCUGACCUUCCGCUGGAACUGCACAGGCAUAGCCACGCGAAACCACGCCGGUUUGCCCAGGAGACGUGGACAAGGGCCCAGUAGAACGCAGACAAGGAUGGGGCUGCCCAUCUUCAGGCCUCUCACAGCCCCUCUGCUGAAGAUGCAGAAGCCCAGCCCUCCACAGAGUAACGCCCGCCCGAGACUCAGGGCGUCUGUGACAGGGAUCCAGACACACGACUGUUCUUACUUCAGCAAAAGACUGAACCAGCAGAGCCGUGUAUUGGAAGCAAAGCCUCAAAGCACGAUGAACACCUGUAGAGGAGCAGGCAACCCAGUUGCAGGUUUGAAGAGGCAUGUGGAAUUCCUUGUGGCAGAGAAGGAAAGAUUAAGGAAAGAAAGUGUAAACAGGUAAAGGCUGAAAAGGCCAGACUUCUAAAAGGUCCAGUAGAAAAGGAGCUGAAUGUGGGUGCUGAUUUUGUAGAAAAGUCAGUUACGGAGCGUGCCUCUGCAUUCGGAAACCGCUACACCCUCUUCAGCCUUGCAGAGGUUUGCAGCAGAUGCCAGGAACGUCAAGUACGUUCCAGUACCCGAUCUUCUCCCUCGGAUUUUCCAUCUCCAGAGCGUCCCCUUACGGAGCGCUCUCAGGAUAUUCUGAAAGUAUUUGUGAGUAAUUAAAAUGGAAGGCCAUAGAAGAAGGGAGAAGAGGAAAUAGUACUAAAUAAUACAGUUAAUGCAGCAACAAACAAUGAAAAGGGAAAGCCACAGGCAAGGGUAAUGCUGGAAAUGCCUCGUCAUCUGGCGUACUGUGGGAGACGAGGCAUUGCCAGGACGUGGGGAACAGUCACUGUGAAGCGUGUCGCAUAUCGGAUUCACCGACUUGAGCUAAUGAUGCCGACCUGGCAGACACUAAACUCAUGGAGGGUCAGUUUCUCCUGAUACCAACCAAAUGGCUUGCUGGAAGAUUUUUUUCAAGCAGCAAUUAUUUUUCUUAUCGUCAGGGUUAAAAUGUUUAAAAGUAUGUUAUGUGUAAUUAAUCUAUAAUGCCAUAAAUGAUCAUGCAAAACCUAAAUAUUAAAAUGACGGCCUGAGGGGCUGCUUCGUAUUUGAAACAUACUUUGUCUCAGGCAUUGAUGUAUGCAUUUUGUUAAUGAUGUUGUGUUUAAGGUGUGUAAGACACUCCUUUCUAGAUGAAACCAUAUGUGCCACACUGUGCACUACUCGUAACAAUGAUAACCUCAAGACUAUCAGGAGAAAUGUUUAAAUUUCCGUGUUAUGAAGAAACCAAAUUAUUAGUUAUGCUUCUUAACACCAGUUACCAGUUUACAUAAUUAAUAAGGGUGCAUUUUAAGUUCUAACUCUGUUUAUUGCAUAAUGCAUCAUUUGAAAAUACCAAGGAAGUCUGUUCUUUGUUUUUAAUGAUCCGCGAGUGGAAGGAAUGCUAGUUGGCAGUAUUUGAUUGUAAGAAAUCAAUAAAGUAAUUGUAUUUUUUAAAAAAA
This is an RNA transcript of Cercocebus atys (sooty mangabey), 6747 nucleotides long. It is a transcript of the gene named nuclear receptor-binding factor 2 pseudogene, with no coding region annotated. Lineage: Eukaryota; Metazoa; Chordata; Mammalia; Primates; Cercopithecidae. The transcript has a single exon. The record is from RefSeq and is a predicted model, not a curated record.